Echinops telfairi (small Madagascar hedgehog) is the source of this 129-nucleotide small nucleolar RNA. The record is from Ensembl. NCBI's taxonomy places the organism in Eukaryota, Metazoa, Chordata, Mammalia, Afrosoricida, Tenrecidae.
CCCGUCAUUGAACCUGACCAUUCUCUGUUGGCUGGUGCAGCCCAGUGGUGAGCUGAGAAUAAAGUCAAGCUUAGGAAACGUGGUUGUUCUUCACGUGGAUGGCUCUGUGCUGAAAGCAUGGGGACAGUC